This 513-nucleotide long non-coding RNA is filed under the name Cicer arietinum (chickpea). RNAcentral's name for it is "long non-coding RNA (CARI_LNC003399)". Lineage: Eukaryota; Viridiplantae; Streptophyta; Magnoliopsida; Fabales; Fabaceae. The record is from RNAcentral.
CUACAUCCAAAUGAUUUUCAAAAUCCAACUAACUUUAAAUAAAAUAAUCUUAUCAUGAAGAUGAUUUUUGCCCUCUUCCAAACUUAUUGUCCUCUGGAAUUAAUUAAGAGGAAUAUUACAAGUGUUGCAGAGCUUGAUAAAAAUAAAAAUUAUAAUUUGAUCAUCUUUAUCUAACACCUCCAAAACAAUUGCACCUAUGUUGUGCACCACCUACACAUUCAAAGCACUUUUUGGAUGCAGUGAACAAUUAGCAUCAUUCGAACCUUGUAGUGCCUCAUGAUUACCUAAUGUUUGCUUUCUUGCCUCUUUAUUCGACUCCACCAAAGCAAUUUUACCCACCGAAGCAAUUUCACCAUCAUCACGAAUAAACGACAUGCCAAUCGAAUAAGACAAUUUCAUCCGUGCCAAAGAGAGAAAGCCCUAGCUAGAAAUCAACACGUGAAGAUAAACUUUAUAGCUAAUGAAUUUAUUGCAAAUGUUUGUUCCAUAUGUCACUUAAUUAUUGUUUGAUUC